RNAcentral lists this ribosomal RNA (3309 nucleotides) under Candidatus Omnitrophica bacterium CG08_land_8_20_14_0_20_41_16. RNAcentral's name for it is "bacterial LSU rRNA". It matches the Rfam family "Bacterial large subunit ribosomal RNA", at positions 1 to 2328 of the family's 2925-position model. The record is from RNAcentral. Lineage: Bacteria; Pseudomonadati; Candidatus Omnitrophota.
UGGUCAAGCUACAAAGAGUCUAUGCACGGAUGACUUGGUUAGGUGAGGCGAUGAAGGACGGGAUAAGCACCGAUAUGUCCCGGGGAGCCGCAAAUAGGCUUUGAUCCGGGAAAUUCCGAAUGAGGCAACUCAGCGCAGGUUAUACUGCGUUAUUCCCACGAUGAAUUCAUAGUUGUGGGGAAGCGAUACCGGGAGAACUGAAACAUCUAAGUACCCUGAGGAAAAGAAAUCACAGAGAUUCCCUUAGUAGUGGCGAGCGAAGAGGGAAAAGUCUAAACUCCGCCAAAGUAAUUUGGCGGAGGGUUGCGGGACCUCGAUGUGGGAUUGUUUUGGGAUAAUAGAAGUAUCUGGAAAGAUGCGCCAUAGAGAGUGAAAGCCUCGUAUAUGAAAUCCUUAAAACACCCUAGAGGUAUCCCAAGUAACACGGGACACGGGAAAUCCUGUGUGAAUCUGGGCCGACCACGGUCUAAGACUAAAAACUACACCUAAACCGAUAGUGUACAAGUACCGUGAGGGAAAGUUGAAAAGAACGCUGGUGAAGCGAGUGAAAUAGAACCUAAAAUCAUAGACUUACAAGCGGUGGGAGGGCUAUGCUAUCUGCGCAAGCGGAUAGAAUGCCUGACCGCGUACCUUUUGCAUAAUGGUCCGACGAGUUACUGUGCGGUGCAAGCUUAAUCCCCUACGGGGAGCAGGCGUAGCGAAAGCGAGUCCUAAUUGGGCGAUCAUAAGUACCGUAUAGUAGACCCGAAGCUGAGUGAUCUACCCAUGGUUAGCGCGAAGCUCUCCGAAAGGAGAGCGGAGGUGCGAACCCGUCAGUGUUGAAAAACUGUGGGAUAAACUGUGGGUUGGAGCGAAAGACUAAACAAACUCAGAAAUUGCUGGUUCUCCCCGAAAUAUUUCUAGGGAUAGCCUCGGAUAAAUUGAAUAGUAGGGGUAGAGUGCUGAAUGGGUUACAGAUCCAUACUAGGAUGCUGGGCCCAACCAAACUCCGAAUACUACUAUUUUUACUCCGGGAGUAAGACAAUGGGGGCUAAGCUCCAUUGUCAAAAGGGUAACAGCCCAGACUGUCAGCUAAGGUCCCUAAGGAUAGGCUAAGUGGUAAAGGAUGUGGACUCACUAAAACAACCAGGAUGUUGGCUCAGAGGCAGCCAUCAUUUAAAGAGUGCGUAACAGCUCACUGGUCGAGUGAUUUCGCGCCAAAGAUGAACGGGGCUUAAGCCUAUCCCGACGUUCCGACUGAGCGAAAGCGAGCGUCGGAAGUCGGGAUCUCGACCGAGCGCAAGCGAGCGUCGGGAUUACCGAAGCUGCAGGUUUUUUUGUCGCAAGACAAGAAAGCGGUAGGGGAGCAUUGUCUAGUUGGUUGAAGCUGUACCGUAAGGAGCAGUGGACACUAGACAAGGGAUUAUGUCGGAAUAAGUAGCGAAAAUGCCUGCGAGAAACAGGCACACCGAAAGUCUAAGGUUUCCUGGGGAAGGUUAAUCCGCCCAGGGUUAGUCGAGCCUAAGCUGAGGCCGUAUGGCGUAAGCGAUGGAUAGUCCGUUAAUAUUCGGACACUAGUUAUGUGGCGUUAUGACUCUUGCGUGACGCAGAGGGCAUGGAGCUGCGCAGUGUUGGAUGCCUGCGUUAUUUUCUGAGCAAUCAGGAGAUGGGACCCUGAGGUUUCCGAGGGGGAAGUGAAUCACUGCCGCACUGCCAAGAAAAGCGUGGAGGGGAGUUGUAUAACUACUCGUACCGGAAUCCGACACAGGUAGACCACCAGAAUAUGGUAAGGUGCUCGAGAUAACUCUCGUUAAGGAACUCGGCAAACUAGCCCCGUACGUUAGCAAUAAGGGGUGCCUUGGGCUCGCGAGGGCUUCAAGGUUUCAAUAAAGUGGAUUGGGUGACUGUUUAGCAAAAACACAACUCUAUGCAAACUCGAAAGAGGAAGUAUAUGGAGUGACACCUGCCCGGUGCUAGAAGGUUAAGGGGAUUUGUCAGCGAGUCGUAAGAUUUGCGAAGCUUUGAACCGAAGCCCCAGUAAACGGCGGCCGUAACUAUUGUUUGGACCACAGUAGUUGUAAAAUCUGGCUAUAUGCUGGAAAAUCCUGUUAAGCUAAUAGUACAUUCCGGCUUGUUCGGAAUUGUGACAAUCUAUUAGAUAGGGACUAUCAGCAGGAAAGACCCGAAAGGAGGUCUCCAUGAAAGCAGAAAUCGGCUAUUAUUUAGCUGGUUUUGCUGACGGCGAAGGAAGUUUUAAUCUUUCCUUCAGGCCGCGGCAAGAUUAUAAGUUACCGUGGAAAGUUUCCCUCUGUUUCAAUAUUUCCCAAAAAGACAAAGUUAUACUUGCAUUAUACAAACGCUAUUUAGGCUGUGGAACUUUAAGGGGUAGGCCUGAUGGAGUUUGGUAUUACGAAGUAAAUAACUUUAAUGCGAUUUGGGAUAAUGUGAUACCAUUCUUCAAAAGAUAUGGUUUUCUUUCUGCAAAGAAGAAGCGCGAUUUCGCAAAGUUCUGCGAGAUUGCAGAAAUAAUAAAGAAAGGAGAACAUAUCAGAGAAGACGGGAUCAAAAAAAUUAUUGAGAUAAGAAGAGAAAUGAAUGACGGUGGAAAGCGAAAAUAUAGCGAAAAGGAGAUUUUAAGUAAGUUUCAGGAAUCCUCAGAGACUAUACGCCAGACCCUUGACAUCAUUGAUGUCAAGGGAUGAUAUAGUCCGGUCUUCCGAGAAAUCGGAAGUUAACAUAGACGAACGGUCCUAAGGUUUUGAUGGAAUUUCAAAGCCCUUUAUGCUGGUAACGGCAUAUCGAAUCUAACUGUAUCGGUGGAGCCCUUUGGUUGUUUGAUAAAGGGUAAUACCGAGGGAAGUCGUAAAUGACCCCGUAGAGACUACACGUUGGCCCCUUGACAUAAAGUGUCAAGGGUGAAGAUAUAGUCCAUACCAAUAGUAAUAUUGGACAAAUAUAAGCGAAAUUCCUUGUGGGGUAAGUUCCCACGCGCACGAAUGGUGUAACAACCUGAUCGCUGUCUCAACGAGAGGCUCGGCGAAAUUGUAGUGGCGGUGAAGAUGCCGUCUACCCGCAUCAAGACGAAAAGACCCCAGAACCUUUACUGCAACCUGCUAUUGAAAUUUGGUUCACUAUGUGUAGUAUAGGUGGGAGGCUUUGAAGCCUAGGCGCUAGCUUGGGCAGAGCCGCAAUGUGAAAUACCACCCUUAUUGCAUUAAGUUUCUAACUUCUUGCCGUGAAUCCGGCGGGAGGACAGUGACAGGUGGGCAGUUUGACUGGGGCGGUUCCCUUCUAAAAAGUAACGAAGGGGCCCCAAGGUUGGCUCAGGGC